ACUGGUCACAGAUAAGCCAUGGCACGUCUAAGUACAACUAAAUGGAUGGUGAAACUGCAAAUGGCUCAUUACAACGGUUAUGAUGUACCCGGGAGUUCCGAUGGAUAUUUCCAGUAACACUAGAACUAAUACAUGUCCCUGCGUUUAUUAGUUUCGCACAGUCCGUCGCUGAGUCAUGGUAAACAGUUGAUCGACUCGACGUCCCGGAACAGUUUCCGCCCCAUCAGCUUCGAUGGUUGGGUAUUGGCCUACCAUUGCAACAACGGGUAACGAGGAAUUAGGGUUUGAUUUCGGAGAGGGAGCCUGAGAAACGGCUACCACAUCUACAGAUGGCAUCCGGCUCCCAAAUUACCCAAUGCAGACACUGCGAGGUAGUGACAAGAAGGAAAAAAGCGCGCCAUUUGUCCUGUCCCGACUCCCGGGAGGUACCCCAAGUCCAAUCAGAUUACAAGGCUUAGGGUCUUGUUAUUAGCUAUGUGCCCCAUUUACCCCCCUUAACG
RNAcentral lists this ribosomal RNA (500 nucleotides) under uncultured Myrionecta. RNAcentral's name for it is "partial 18S ribosomal RNA". The stretch from base 6 to 381 matches the Rfam family "Eukaryotic small subunit ribosomal RNA", at positions 37 to 473 of the family's 1831-position model. The record is from RNAcentral. Lineage: Eukaryota; Ciliophora; Litostomatea; Cyclotrichida; Mesodiniidae.